RNAcentral lists this long non-coding RNA (1159 nucleotides) under Calidris pygmaea (Spoon-billed sandpiper). Its description in RNAcentral is "lncRNA (ENSCPGG00000005950.1)". Lineage: Eukaryota; Metazoa; Chordata; Aves; Charadriiformes; Scolopacidae. The record is from RNAcentral.
GUUGAGAAGGCAAAGCAUUGGUACACCUAUUAAAACUUGUGACAUUUGUAGGUAUAGACUGCAAGGAAGAUCUCCAAAGACACAGAGGACCUGUCGAAAAUCACAGUGUUGGGUGCCUGUACACUGUGCUUUAGGAAACAUACUUACAACCAAAGUGAGUGGGUUGUGCUCGUUUUGGCUGGGAUAAAGCUGAUUGUUUUCAAAGUAGCUAGCAUGGGGCCAUGUUUUAGAUUUGUGCUGAAAAAAGUAUUGAUAAUGCAGAGGUGUUUCCAUUGCUGCUGAGCAGUACUUACGUAGAGUCAAGGCCUUUUCUGUUUUCCACACCUCCCACCAGUGAGCAGGCUGGGAGGGAACAAGAAGUUGGGAGGGGACACGGCUGGGACAGCUGACCCCAACUGACCAAAGGGAUUUUCCAAACCAUAUGACAUCAUCCUCAAUAUAUAAAGCUGGGGAAGAAGAAGGGAGGAGGGAUGUUCAGUGUUUGUCUUCCCAAGUAAACAUUACCUGUGAUGGAGCCCUGCUUUCCCGCGGAUGGCUGAACGCCUGCCUGCCCAUGGGAAGCAGUGAGUGAGUGAAUUCCUUGUUGUGUCUUGUUUGCAUGCACAGCUUUUGCUUUACCUAUUAAACUAUCUUUAUCUCAACCCAUGAGUUUUUUCACUUUUAAACUUCCUAUUCUUUCCCCCAUCCCACCAGAGGGGAGUAAGCAAACAGCUGAAUGGGGCUUAGUUGCCAGCGGGGGUUAAACCAUGACAGGGGCAUUAAGCAUCUCAUGUUUAAGCAAUGUUCCAGUGUCAUAUACCAGGGACAUGGUUAGGUGCUUGAAGAAAUCAACUUCCACAAUCCAGCUUGUGCUGAGUCCUUCUCUUAUUUCACAAUUCAACAGAAGAAAGAGAAGAUAGAGUAGUGAUUACUGCUGUUGUCUUGAGUGAGUUAUGUCACGUUACACUCUCCUCUGCACCUGAGCUGAACCACUGGGAACCCCUUUUAUGCUGUUGGCUUCUGCUCGGAUUUACAGUCUCCUCCAGCGACAAAUUUGCCAGACCUGGAAGCACACAAAAAUGGUAGGUUAAACUUUCAUUUCAAAUUUGCUCUUAGGUCUCUUUGACUGCAACUGUUGUGGAAGGCUUUCAAGACCAUUGUGCUUUUCUGCUUUGGCAAU